CUGAGAAUGAGAGCUAGAGAGGCAAGGAAACACUGGGAACAGUGGGGAAAAGACUGAACUGGAUUCAGGAGAUAGUAGGGUUGUGAGUUCUUGCAUAGUUAUGCCGCUAACUUGCUGGCCUUGAGGGAAAAGGAGACACUUAUCGAGUGCCUGUUAAUGUGCCAGGUAAUUUUCAUGUAUUGUCUAUGAUCUUACAUUUUUCCUCCAAAAACUUUAAGGAGGAUAUAUAAUUACUCCCUUUCACAGUUGAGGAAACUGGAGUUCAAAACAUAAGAAGCUUAUUCAAGGUCAUACAGCAAAUUACCUGCAGAUGAGAGAUUUGAGCUCUGGUCUUCACUGACUCCAAGGACAUAGUCUUUGAACUACACUAGGCUUCUUUUUAGGGCUGGAGGAUAUUUACUUGUGCAAAAACAGGUUAACCUAGAUCAGAGGUUGCAAACCCUCAGCUCAUGCACACAUAUUUCUGGUUUGGUCUCAUGAUGUCUCAAACAUUUAAAAAUUAUCAGUUAACCUUUCAGCAUCCAAAGAUUUCUCAUAAAACUCGAUUUCUGUCUUCUUCAGAGAGACUGGACGACCUGGCAGCUUCAGGCGUCGAGUAGUGGCGGCCCCUGAGAUGAUCCCCCCAGUGAAUAGUUGUAUUCUCUUCAUUGUGGGUCCUUCUAGUGUGGCAUGUGGGAUGCUGCCUCAGCGUGGUUUGAUGAGCAGUGCCGUGUCCACGCCCAGGAUUUGAACCAACGAAACACUGGGCCGCCUGCAGUGGAGCGCGCGAACUUAACCACUCGGCCACAGGGCCAGCCCCAGGACUGAGUUUUAACCCAGGAUUUGGGACACUCCCAAACAGACACUCCCCUGUCUCUACAGAGAGGGAAAAAGAAGGAAGAUGGCUCAUCUCAGUCGUUUCCUGCAAAAUAAUCCAAGUCACCAUUCAAGAGGCUGAUUAUACUUGAUCCUUCUUAGUUUGAUGAGCCUGGGUGGGUUGCACAAGUUGAUGUUGUCUUCCAAUGGGCACAGCUGUUGCUGGAUCUUUUGGCAAUUUUAAAGAAGAGUUCUGGCCCCACGGGGAGCCCAUGUGUUCUCCUCCUCCUGCUAUGCUGUUGUUUUUAGAUGGAGGAACUAAAAUAACCAUUGAGGGAUACCAAGAAAGCUGCCAGAGAAGCUGUUGUGCUGUUCUCCAAGAAGUCUGUUGCAAAAUGUUUAAUGAUUCUUAAGUGAAAAGUAUUUGGGAAUUGGGGCUGCCAGAGUGUUCGUAACUAAUGUCCUCCCUGGUAUUACGAUAGAACAGACGGCAAGUUCAGUCUCCUGAUGGGUGCAUGAGAGGUUCCAUGCGCAUGGGCUGGUUCAAAGAAAAGACCUCCCCUCAAAGAAAAAAAUGUAAAUAUAAACCCACCUGCAUAUUUAGAAACUGCUAGGACAGAAAAGGUGCCCCCAAUCCACAGAAUGUUUCCUUUCUUGGCUUAGUUAUCAUUUAAAUACUUUCAUUGGUUGGUACUGCUUUUUACCAUGGUUGAGAUAGUUUAAAUUGUAAAUGAAUGCAGAAAAAAAAUAUGGUAGAAAUGGUAUUUGCAUUACUGAACACUUAAUUCUGUGCAAUCCUACCCCAGGGGCAGUACUUGACAGGGGGUACAAAUUGAACUAGGAGGGGGGCUACAGGGAAAGUCAGUUAGAAUUAGGGACUGCAUGUUUGGCAUAAUGAGGAAAAAAGAGGUAGAAAGAGUGCUAUUGGAACUAACGACAAAAGUUUCCUGCAAUAUAAUUAAAUUAAAAAAAAUUAUUGCAGUGAUAUUGUAU
Molecule: long non-coding RNA, 1788 nt
Organism: Equus caballus (horse)
Lineage: Eukaryota; Metazoa; Chordata; Mammalia; Perissodactyla; Equidae
Source: Ensembl